ACUCCUACGGGAGGCAGCAGUGGGGAAUCUUGGACAAUGGGCGCAAGCCUGAUCCAGCCAUGCCGCGUGAGUGAUGAAGGCCCUAGGGUCGUAAAGCUCUUUCGCCUGUGAAGAUAAUGACGGUAGCAGGUAAAGAAACCCCGGCUAACUCCGUGCCAGCAGCCGCGGUAAUACGGAGGGGUUAGCGUUGUUCGGAAUUACUGGGGCGUAAAGCGCGCGUAGGCUGACUAUUAAGUCAGAGGUGAAAUCCCGGGGCUCAACCCCGGAACUGCCUUUGAUACUGGUAGUCUUGAGUUCGAGAGAGGUAAGUGGAAUUCCGAGUGUAGAGGUGAAAUUCGUAGAUAUUCGGAGGAACACCAGUGGCGAAGGCGGCUUACUGGCUCGAUACUGACGCUGAGGUGCGAAAGUGUGGGGAGCAAACAGGAUUAGAUACCCUGGUAGGAUAGCG
This 448-nucleotide ribosomal RNA is filed under the name uncultured bacterium. RNAcentral's name for it is "bacterial SSU rRNA". It matches the Rfam family "Bacterial small subunit ribosomal RNA", at positions 335 to 799 of the family's 1533-position model. The record is from RNAcentral.